This 200-nucleotide ribosomal RNA is filed under the name uncultured bacterium. Its description in RNAcentral is "partial 16S ribosomal RNA". It matches the Rfam family "Bacterial small subunit ribosomal RNA", at positions 1301 to 1500 of the family's 1533-position model. The record is from RNAcentral.
CAGGCUGCAACUCGCCUGCAUGAAGUCGGAAUUGCUAGUAAUCGUAGGUCAGCAUACUACGGUGAAUACGUUCCCGGGCCUUGUACACACCGCCCGUCAAACCAUGAGAGUUGGCAACACCCGAAGUCGGUAGUCUAACCGCAAGGAGGACGCCGCCGAAGGUGGGGUCGAUGAUUAGGGUUAAGUCGUAACAAGGUAUC